Molecule: ribosomal RNA, 473 nt
Filed under: uncultured bacterium
Lineage: Bacteria
Description: SSU rRNA
Rfam family: Bacterial small subunit ribosomal RNA
Source: RNAcentral
GGGACGAACGCUGGCGGCGCGCCUAAGACAUGCAAGUCGAACGAGAAGCCCGGGCUUGCCCGGGUGGACAGUGGCGAACGGGUGAGUAACACGUGAGGAACCUGCCCCGAAGACCGGGACAACAUCGGGAAACCGUUGCUAAUACCGGAUGCCCUCGAAGAAUCGCAUGGUUCAUCGAGGAAAUGGAUUCCGCUUCGGGAUGGCCUCGCGGCCUAUCAGCUUGUUGGUGAGGUAAUGGCUCACCAAGGCAUCGACGGGUAGCUGGUCUGAGAGGAUGUCCAGCCACACUGGGACUGAGACACGGCCCAGACUCCUACGGGAGGCAGCAGUUAGGAAUCUUGCGCAAUGGACGAAAGUCUGACGCAGCGACGCCGCGUGCGGGAUGAAGGCCCUCGGGUUGUAAACCGCUUUCAGCAGGGACGAAAUUGACGGUACCUGCAGAAGAAGCCCGGCAACUACGUGCCAGCAGCCGC